AUAUUUACCUAGACGGGGUCUAUGAGUGAUCAUGAAGGCUCAUGGCCUAGGUGUGUGGUCUCCAUUGCACUUAGGAGAGGUGCUUGCCUAACAUCUCCCCAAGUGGGAGAGUGUAUGUCAUAAUUUGUUGUAGUGAGGGCCUGCAAAAUUUUGGGUAAGGCCUACU
Molecule: small nuclear RNA, 166 nt
Organism: Malania oleifera
Lineage: Eukaryota; Viridiplantae; Streptophyta; Magnoliopsida; Santalales; Ximeniaceae
Product: U1 spliceosomal RNA
Exons: 1
Source: RefSeq, a predicted model, not a curated record